UACGAAUGCCUCAAGCGUUAUCCGGAUUUAUUGGGCGUACAGGGUCCGUAGGCGGCUUUAUAAGUCAUCUGUUAAAUUUUUAGGCUUAACCUAAAAAUCGCAGGAGAUACUGUAAAGCUAGAGGAUGGUAGAGGUACACGGAAUUGUCGGUGUAGGGGUAAAAUCCGUUUAUAUCGACAAGAACACCGAAGGCGAAAGCAGUGUACUGGAACAUUCCUGACGCUGAGGGACGAAAGCGUGGGUAGCGAAUGGG
This 253-nucleotide unclassified non-coding RNA is filed under the name Patescibacteria group bacterium. Its description in RNAcentral is "contains 16S-23S intergenic spacer region". It matches the Rfam family "Bacterial small subunit ribosomal RNA", at positions 524 to 776 of the family's 1533-position model. The record is from RNAcentral.